GUAGGUGAACCUGCGGAAGGAUCAUUAUAGUAUAUCUAUAUCUAGGAUGCAGGGUGCUUUAGGGUACCCUCCCCGCCAAACCUUGCAAAUUUGAACUUAAUAGUUACCUUGGUAGGCUUAACUGCCUGUGGAUAAAUCUAAAUUCUUUAAUAAACUGGCUGUAAUUAAUGUAACUGUCUGAAAUAAUGUUAAUAUUAAAACUUUCAACAACGGAUCUCUUGGUUCUG
RNAcentral lists this unclassified non-coding RNA (227 nucleotides) under rhizosphere metagenome. RNAcentral describes it as "partial ribosomal RNA internal transcribed spacer region". The record is from RNAcentral.